RNAcentral lists this ribosomal RNA (253 nucleotides) under uncultured bacterium. RNAcentral describes it as "partial 16S ribosomal RNA". It matches the Rfam family "Bacterial small subunit ribosomal RNA", at positions 524 to 776 of the family's 1533-position model. The record is from RNAcentral.
GACAUAGGUGGCAAACGUUAUCCGGAAUUAUUGGGCGUAAAGAGCUCGUAGGCGGUUUGUCGCGUCUGCUGUGAAAUCCCGAGGCUCAACCUCGGGUCUGCAGUGGGUACGGGCAGACUGGAGUGCGGUAGGGGAGAAUGGAAUUCCUGGUGUAGCGGUGGAAUGCGCAGAUAUCAGGAGGAACACCGAUGGCGAAGGCAGUUCUCUGGGCCGUAACUGACGCUGAGGAGCGAAAGCGUGGGGAGCGAACAGG